GGUUGUAGCUCAGUGGUAGAGCACUCACCUAGCACAUGUGAGGGCCUGGGUUCCAUCCUCAGCACCA
This 67-nucleotide transfer RNA is filed under the name Marmota monax (woodchuck). RNAcentral describes it as "tRNA.Ala". It matches the Rfam family "tRNA". Rfam says of the family: Transfer RNA (tRNA) molecules are approximately 80 nucleotides in length. Their secondary structure includes four short double-helical elements and three loops (D, anti-codon, and T loops). Further hydrogen bonds mediate the characteristic L-shaped molecular structure. tRNAs have two regions of fundamental functional importance: the anti-codon, which is responsible for specific mRNA codon recognition, and the 3' end, to which the tRNAs corresponding amino acid is attached (by aminoacyl-tRNA synthetases). tRNAs cope with the degeneracy of the genetic code in two manners: having more than one tRNA (with a specific anti-codon) for a particular amino acid; and 'wobble' base-pairing, i.e. permitting non-standard base-pairing at the 3rd anti-codon position. Lineage: Eukaryota; Metazoa; Chordata; Mammalia; Rodentia; Sciuridae. The record is from RNAcentral.